CGCCAGACUCCUACGGGAGGCAGCAGUGAGGAAUAUUGGUCAAUGGCCGAGAGGCUGAACCAGCCAAGUCGCGUGAGGGAUGACGGCCCUACGGGUUGUAAACCUCUUUUGUCGGGGAGCAAAGAGAGUCACGUGUGGCUCAUUGAGAGUACCCGAAGAAAAAGCAUCGGCUAACUCCGUGCCAGCAGCCGCGGUAAUACGGAGGAUGCGAGCGUUAUCCGGAUUUAUUGGGUUUAAAGGGUGCGCAGGCGGGGGUGCAAGUCAGUGGUCAAAUUGCGGGGCUCAACCCCGUCCGGCCGUUGAAACUGGGGGCCUUGAGUGGGCGAGAAGAAGGCGGAAUGCGUGGUGUAGCGGUGAAAUGCAUAGAUAUCACGCAGAACUCCGAUUGCGGAGGCAGCAUACCGGCGCGCAACUGACGCUCAUGCACGAAAGCGUGGGGAUCGAACAGGAUUAGAUACCCUCGUACUC
RNAcentral lists this ribosomal RNA (468 nucleotides) under uncultured bacterium. RNAcentral's name for it is "bacterial SSU rRNA". It matches the Rfam family "Bacterial small subunit ribosomal RNA", at positions 329 to 795 of the family's 1533-position model. The record is from RNAcentral.